UGCGGACGGAAUAAAAAAAAAAAAAAAAGUCAUACUGUAUAUGUCGUAAUGGUAGCAGAGAGACCUAAUUCGGAUGCUGUUAUAAAUAAUGAAUGGGAAGCGAAUUAUGGCUUGCCAAGUUUAGAGGGCGCACCGUUACAGUUAAGCGUAAGGUACUUUCUCUGUUGGACUGCAGUCGUUGAUGUUAGCCUACAAGGUCGUGGUGUGUAUGGAUCUGGGCGUGUCUCGUCCCAUCUUCCAAACUUCCACACCUGUCCUGUAUACGUUUUACAUCGACGGUUACGCAAAGUGGCGUAAGGGAAAUGACGGAAGCUGGUUGAAUGUUCGUCUUCCAGCAAGCUUCCGUCAGUGGUGACCUGCUGGGUCAUGGAGACAGUGGAAAGAUGCUCCCUCCGAGAUAUAGAUGAAAUUAAAAAAAAAUAUGGAGAUCUGAAAGAUGAAGAAAUAAUAAUUGUAA
Molecule: long non-coding RNA, 457 nt
Filed under: Androctonus crassicauda
Lineage: Eukaryota; Metazoa; Arthropoda; Arachnida; Scorpiones; Buthidae
Source: RNAcentral